Cervus hanglu yarkandensis (Yarkand deer) is the source of this 5214-nucleotide long non-coding RNA. Lineage: Eukaryota; Metazoa; Chordata; Mammalia; Artiodactyla; Cervidae. The record is from Ensembl.
CCGCCCGCUCCUCCGCGCCGCGCCGCUGCCCGCGCGGGCCGGGCCGCCUCCGAGCUCCCGGGCCGCCCCGCGGCAGGGCCGGGGCAGGGGGGUGCCCCUCUCACUGGGCGCCCGGCUCCCCUCACCCGCUCCCGCCCCCUGGGCGGCCGCGGAGCCGAGGGGACGGCGGGAAGGGGGCCUCCGGAGGACAGCGGACGGCUACGAACGCGGGCUCCGCCACUCGAGCCGCUCCGUUACCGCAGCGGCGGUGGCGGCGGCGACGACGACCAGGGCCGUGUUGUUGCUGCCAACUUGUCGGGAGGACACUGAGCAUGCGCGCGCGGAGACCACAUCCGGGAGGUAAGUAAGAAAUUUUGAAGACCACAGUCCCAGAGGAGCUAAGCUGCCACCUUUCCUGAAACCUCCCUGAAUGAAACGUCUCAUUUCCCAGAUCCAUCCUGUCUUGGGCAGGCACAGGCUUGAAAGCUUUCUUCCUCUUUUGUCUUUUUUGAUGGCUCCCCCUCCUGUGAAAUGGAACUUCCCCAAAGACGCUGAUGGUGGGAAAGAUUGAAAGCAGGAGGAGAAGGUGGCAACAGAGAACAAGACGGUUGGAUGGCAUCACCGACUCAACAGACAGGAGUCUGAGCAAGCUCCGGGAGAUGGUGAAGAAGAGGGAACCCUGGCAUACUGCAAUCCACAGGGUAGCAGAGUCAGACCCAACUUAACAUCUGAACGGCAGGGUGAGGAGAAUCCAGAGCUUUAACCUUUUCAUCCCAGAGGUGGAGACCGAGAGCUCUCACCUCUUGCACUGCCCACCUAGGAAGGAAUAGGAUAAUACAGUAUUCCUCUGGAAAUGGCCUAGUAGUUAACACCUCACAACUCCAGGCAAGAAUUAGUACACAGACAUUUUAGAGUUAACCCAGCGUUUUGUUUUGUUUUUACAGUUAUCCAAGUUGCCUUUGAAAAAUCACUUGACAUUGAUUAACCUGAACACUAUCAGUGAUUCCCACAUUCCUAAAAACACUACAGUAAAUCCUGUCCUCUCCUUUGACUUAAAGUAUGACUGACGUGCAUUUGACUUAUCAAGUGAUUUGUUCUUUUAGCUUUGUUUUGUCAAGUCUGACUCUUUUGUGAUCCCUGGGCUGCAGCCCACUAGGCUCCUCUGUCCUUGGGGGUUUUCCAGGUAAGAAUACUAGAGUAGGUUGCCAUUUCCUUCUUCGGGGGCUCCUCCCAGCCCAGGGAUCGAACCUGUGUCUCCUGCAUUGCAGGCAAAUUCUUUACCACUGAGCCACCUGUGGUAAGCCCUCUUUUAGCUUUCUAGGUGGCCAAAGCCAGACUCAAUGAGGAAGAAAGUAGACAGAUGGAGCUGAGGCUCUAUCCCCUUCCUUCCUCCAUCCCUCCCUCUUUUUUCUUUCCUUACUAAAUGGCUGUAAUAGCCAGAUCCAGCAAGGGCCACAAGAGCAUCUGUGGACAGAAGCUGACAGAAUCCAGAGUGGAGUGUGGGGGUGGGUGGGGAGGGGAAUGUGACUGGAGUGUGAGUCCAUAGUCUCUGUUCAAAAGAUUAAAUUGAAACUUGAAAUUCAGAGUGACUAGUAUGUAUCUUCUUCUUUCUCUCCUUUAAGACUCAGUGAUCCUCUAGGAUCCCUGGUGUUUGUCCCGGUUGGACACCCUUUCUUUCUGCUCCUAGACUGGCCUGUGAGUUCCCUGAGGACAGAGGUUCUCUUUUCUGGCCCUCAGCAGAAUGUCUAACGCUGGGCCAUUCAUGGAAUGUUCGAAUGUUUGUUGAGUGAAUGCUCGGAGGGGAGAGGUGGGAGCUAAGACUGGGAAGAUAGGUUUGGAGCCAGGCUGUGAAGGAAGACACGCUCAUGAGUUGAACUCCAGUGGAAGACGGAUACGUGUGGGUUUUGUUUACAGUUUUAUUGAGGUAUAAUCUGCAUUAGACCAUAAUCUACAUUAACUUUUUUAAGUAGAGAGUGAAUUUAGGUAAAUGUAUACAUCGUGCAGUCACCACGAUGACCCAGUUAGAACACUUCCCUCACUCCAGAAUGUUCCCUUCUACCCCUCUUCAGUCAGUCCUCACCUCCAUACUCCAGACCACAGGUAACCACUGACAUGCCUCCUGUUGCUAAGGUUUUGGUUUUUCUAGAAUUUCAUAUAAAUAAAAUCGUAUAGUAUGCAGCUUUUUGUAACUGGGUUCUUUCACUCAGCAUGUUGUUUUUGAGAUCCAAAAUAUCACUGUAUGUAUCAGUAGCUGGUUCCUUUUGAUUGUUGAGUAGUAGUAUAUUGUGCUGUCGUUGCAUAGUUGCUAAGUUGUGUCCGACUCUUUUGCAACCCUGUGGACUAUAUACCUUGCCAGGCUUCUCUGUCCAUGGGAUUCUCCAGGCAAGAAUACUGGAGUGGGUUGCCAUUGCCUUCUCCAGGGGAUCUUCCCAACCCAGGGAUUGAGCUCACAUCUCCUGAAUUGGCAGGCGGAUUCUUCAAAAUGUUAAUAAUCGCUGAAUAGGGAUAAAGGCUACAUGGAAGUUCUUUGUACUAUUCUUGCAAGUUUUCUGUAAGAUUAAAGUUUUUUCAGUCACUUGCCCAUGUGAUAAAGUUCCUUCAGCAGUACCACUGGAAUUUGAACCCUCUGUAGCCUCCAGCCCUCCACACACCAUGCUUUGUGGAGCUGCCCAGUGACCCUAAUAGCUCUUUGCUGAAGCCAGGCCCCAGCAGGGCCUCCUGACCUGAUGCCUCAGGAAGGAGGGGGCCCAGGUGCCUUGGAGCAGUGUUUCUCCAACUUUGAACAUGUGCACAAAUCCCUUGGAGUCUUGUUACAAUGCAGAAUCUCCUUCAGUGGAUCCAAGGUGGAGCUGGAGCGUCUGUGCUUCUAACAAGUUUCCAGACGAGGCGGAUCCUGCUGGUCCCUGGAUCAGAGUUCCAAAGGCGAGGCCGUAGACUCUAGGACCCAGAACUCUAGGGCCUAAAAUGCAAAAUGUAUGGGGGAGGGGAGGAAUAGAAAGGAACAUUUAGGAGACGGUCCACAGUUGUGAUUCUAUGUACUUUAAAUGCUUUUCAGUCAAAAGCUUUCAUUUUUCACACAUCCUGGCAUUCGAUAAAGACUCAGAGUGAGCCUACUGGGGCGCCAUACUUUAAAGUAAGGAAAUAAAUGGUGAUUAACGUUAACUGAAAGAGUUAUGAUUUAUCCGGUAUUUCCUUGUCCUCAGAGACUCCAAAUCAGCCUUAAAUCUAGACAGUUUUUAGCCCAACAAGUGAACUUGUCAUCCAACAGUCUCACUUAGCAUCACAGGCACAAGAGAGAACUUUGCAGGCAGGGAGCCUUGUAAAUGAUGAUUUCAUCAAAAGCAAAAACAAAACAUUUAAAAAACAUUUGGCAUUUGUGCUGUGGCAUCAUUUUAGUGACAUAAGAAUUUUAUAAUGAGUGUUUGGACAAAGGACUUUCAGCUUUCAGCCCUAAGGGGGGAAGUAUCUUACCUUAACAUCGCCUACAUCUUUUAUUAUUUUUAAAGCAUUUUAGGGGGAGACAACCUUGAGGGAAACAAUUGAUUUUACCCAGGACCAAAAUUACAGUUACUACUUUUUUGGAGCUUUGAGGAUAAUCAGGUGCCACCUUUUAGGGACGAGGUAUCUGAAGGAGAAGGAUCUUCCCUAUUGCCUCAGUGGUAAAGAAUCCGCCUGGCAAUUUAGGAGCCAUAAUGCAGGUUCGAUCCCUGGGUCGCGAAGAUCCUCUGGAGGAGGGAAUGGCAACCCACUCCAAUAUUCUUGCCUGGGAAAUCCCAUGGACAGAGGAACCUGGCAGGCUACAGUCCGUGGGGUCGCAAAGAGUCAGACUCAACUGAGCAACUAAAGGACAAUUUGAAGGGAAGAAGGAUGCUUUGAGCAUUUGAGCAGUAUACACCUCACAUCUACCUCUCAGGAAGGAGCCCUGAGAAGGAUAAGGAUACCUGGUUCCAAGACUUAGCCUUUCAGUCCCCUUCUUCCAAGAAAACGUGGCCAGGGACCUCCCUGGCGGUUCAGUGGUUGGGAAUCCGCCUGACAAUGCAGGGGACAUGGGUUCGAUCCCUGGUCCAGGAGGAUCCUGCUUGCUGUGGGGCAACUGAGCCCAUGCACAUAACUGCUCUAGAGCCCGCUGCACCCUAGAACGUGUGCUCUGCAACAAGAGAAGCCACCGCAACGAGGAGCCUUUGGACUGCAACUGAAGCAUGGCUCACGCUCUCUGCAACUAGAGAAAAGCCUGCACACAGCAGCGAAGACCCAGGGUAGCCAACAGAUAAUUAAAAUUAAAAAAAAAAAAAAAAGUGGCCAGCAGAAGCCUCACUCUCUGAGGCUCCCAGAACACGUUGAGCCCGCUGCAAGUUUUCUUUCCCUUUCUCCGGUGGUGGCCGAUGCCUCUCUGCUUUUGCUUCUUCCCUUUUCCUUCGCCUGGCUGACUUUCAGUUCCAGGCACAGCUGAUAAGCUGCCUCCAGCUGCUGCCUUUGAACUGUCCCUACCCACUUCCUGCCCUCUGAUCUCUUCUUGCCUUGGUUACCCAGAGCUGGCUGGAGCCUGGCCUGCAAGGUGACCCCAGUGAGGAAGUGUGGCAGGAGCCAGGGUCUGCUCCUAAGACGUAUGAGGGCCACAGCCCUCUCCCAGGCCAAGAGAGCCUCCUCCAUCGCUGGAAAUGAGAAGGCCCCGGAUGUCCCUUGUGGUCGAAGCUGUUUCCUCCCCCUCAUCCUUUUUAGGGGAGGCUGAUUAUCAGGUCAGCUCCUACACGGCUCAACAGUAACCCCUAUCCUCUCUAAAUAAGACACCCUGGGACUUCCGUGGUGGCCCCAUGGUUAAGAAUCUGCAUGCCAACGCAGGGGACACAGGUUGGAUCCCUGAGCUGGAAAUAUUACAUAUGCUGCAGGACAACUAAGCUCAUGGGCCACAAGUACUGAGCUGGUGCGCCAUAGCUGCGGAGGCCCUUACAGCUAGGGCCAUGCUCCACAACAGGAGAAGCUACUGCAAUGAGAUGUCCACAAACCACAACCAGAGAGUAGCCUCAUUCACGGCAACCAGAAGAAGCUCACAGGGAGCAACAAGGACCCAGCGCAGCAAAAAUAAUAAAUGAAUAAAUAAAAGCCCUGGCUCAGAAGCCCCCUCCAGCCUGGAUGCCUCCCCCGCAACCGCUGUUCCCCAACACACAGAUAAUCAGCUUCAAAGGGGAGCUUAGACUUGGUCUGAACUUAACCCGAGACUGCACUUGUUAGAAUUCG